This 545-nucleotide ribosomal RNA is filed under the name uncultured bacterium. RNAcentral's name for it is "bacterial SSU rRNA". It matches the Rfam family "Bacterial small subunit ribosomal RNA", at positions 775 to 1319 of the family's 1533-position model. The record is from RNAcentral.
AGUCAAUAGAUACCCCGGUAGUCCAUGCCGUAAACGAUGAUUGCUAGGUGUGGGGGGUCUGACCCCUUCCGUGCCGGAGUUAAACACAAAUAAGCAAUCCACCUGGGGAGUACGGCCGCAAGGUUGAAACUCAAAGGAAUUGACGGGGGCCCGCACAAGCAGUGGAGUAUGUGGUUUAAUUCGAAGCAACGCGAAGAACCUUACCAGGUCUUGACAUCCACCGAAUCCUGUAGAGAUACGGGAGUGCCCUUCGGGGAACGGUGAGACAGGUGGUGCAUGGUUGUCGUCAGCUCGUGUCGUGAGAUGUUGGGUUAAGUCCCGCAACGAGCGCAACCCUUGUGAAUAGUUGCUACGAAAGAGCACUCUAUUCAGACCGCCGUUGACAAAACGGAGGAAGGUGGGGAUGACGUCAAAUCAUCAUGCCCCUUAUGACCUGGGCUACACACGUACUACAAUGGUCGUCAACAGAGGGAAGCAAGACCGCGAGGUGGAGCGAACCCCUAAAAACCGAUCUCGGUUCAGAUUGCAGGCUGAAACUCGCCUGC